AGGACGAACGCUGGCGGCGUGCCUAAUACAUGCAAGUCGAACGGUCUUUCUAUGGAAGCUUGCUUCCACUGAGAAGAUAGUGGCGAACGGGUGAGUAACACGUGGGUAACCUGCCCAUAAGAGGGGGAUAACAUCCGGAAACGGGUGCUAAUACCGCAUAGUUUUCUUGAUCGCAUGAUCGGGAAAGGAAAGACGGCCUUUGUGCUGUCGCUUAUGGAUGGACCCGCGGCGUAUUAGUUAGUUGGUGAGGUAACGGCUCACCAAGACGAUGAUACGUAGCCGACCUGAGAGGGUGAUCGGCCACAUUGGGACUGAGACACGGCCCAAACUCCUACGGGAGGCAGCAGUAGGGAAUCUUCCGCAAUGGACGAAAGUCUGACGGAGCAACGCCGCGUGAGUGAAGAAGGUUUUUUCGGAUCGUAAAACUCUGUUGUCAGAGAAGAACAAGUUGGAGAGUAACUGCUCCAGCCUUGACGGUAUCUGACCAGAAAGCCACGGCUAACUACGUGCCAGCAGCUGC
Molecule: ribosomal RNA, 520 nt
Filed under: uncultured bacterium
Lineage: Bacteria
Description: bacterial SSU rRNA
Rfam family: Bacterial small subunit ribosomal RNA
Source: RNAcentral